Molecule: ribosomal RNA, 859 nt
Filed under: Gammarus jaspidus
Lineage: Eukaryota; Metazoa; Arthropoda; Malacostraca; Amphipoda; Gammaridae
Description: partial 16S ribosomal RNA
Rfam family: Archaeal large subunit ribosomal RNA (bases 373-533)
Source: RNAcentral
AAAGAGUAAGAAAUUUUAAGGAGUAUACCUUUUGUAUCAGGGGAAGUCAAAAGUAAAGGUAGAAAAAGAUCGAUUUAAGCAGAGCUUCGUAUAAGAGAACCAUAGUUGAAUUUGUGGGUUUAACAUAUCAUGUGGUGAAAAAUGUACGGUGCUUAUGGUAACUAUUUGUUUUCUUUGUUGGGGGGUAAGCUUUCAUUAACUUAACCGCGCAAAAAAGAUAGGGAGUUAGGCUUUGUAUUAGUCAAAUUAUUAAAUUGUUUUAAAUAACCUAAGAGUGUAGGCUAAAUCUUAAGAUCAAAAGACUUGGCCUGUCAGUAGCAACAGUUCUAAAUAAUGAGUUUAUUGAAUAUAGGUCGGAAUACUUAAAUAACUCGUGGUAGGUUAGAAUGUUUAGCAAAAACAUUUUCUUUGGGGGUAGGCAAGAUAAGACCUGCCCGGUGAUUUUUAACGGCUGCGGUAUUUUGACUGUGCUAAGGUAGCAUAAUCAUUUGCUACUUAAUUGGUAGCUGGAAUGAAAGGUUAAACUAAUUUACUCAGUUUGUUGUGUUUUCUAAGAAGUUAAAGUCAAGGUAAGAAUUCUUUGGUCUGCUAGGGGACGAUAAGACCCUAGAAGCUUGAUAAUAAGAGUAUUUGUUAGUUAUAGAGAUUAAUUUAUUUUACUGGGGCGGUAAAGGUAUAUAAACUAUUGUACUAUUGAUAGAUCCUUAAAAUAAAGAUAAAACGGAAAAGUUACUCUAGGGGUAACAGUGCAAUAUUUUUGGAGAGAUCUUAUUGAUAAAAAUGUUUGCAACCUCGAUGUUGAAUUAAAAUGUCUACGUGAAGCAGCAGGUACGUGAGAGGGUUUGUUCAACCUUUAAAU